This 244-nucleotide ribosomal RNA is filed under the name Edwardsiella anguillarum. RNAcentral's name for it is "partial 16S ribosomal RNA". It matches the Rfam family "Bacterial small subunit ribosomal RNA", at positions 1 to 237 of the family's 1533-position model. The record is from RNAcentral. Lineage: Bacteria; Pseudomonadati; Pseudomonadota; Gammaproteobacteria; Enterobacterales; Hafniaceae.
UUUAAUUGAAGAGUUUGAUCAUGGCUCAGAUUGAACGCUGGCGGCAGGCUUAACACAUGCAAGUCGAGCGGUAGCAGGGAGAAAGCUUGCUUUCUCCGCUGACGAGCGGCGGACGGGUGAGUAAUGUCUGGGGAUCUGCCUGAUGGAGGGGGAUAACUACUGGAAACGGUAGCUAAUACCGCAUAACGUCGCAAGACCAAAGUGGGGGACCUUCGGGCCUCAUGCCAUCAGAUGAACCCAGAUG